AUUGAACGCUGGCGGAAUGCUUUACACAUGCAAGUCGAACGGUAGAGGGGGCAACCCCCUUGAGAGUGGCGAACGGGUGAGUAAUAUAUCGGAACGUGCCCAGUCGUGGGGAUAACGUAGCGAAAGUUACGCUAAUACCGCAUACGAUCUAAGGAUGAAAGCGGGGGAUCGCAAGACCUCGCGCGAUUGGAGCGGCCGAUAUCAGAUUAGGUAGUUGGUGAGGUAAAGGCUCACCAAGCCAACGAUCUGUAGCUGGUCUGAGAGGACGACCAGCCACACUGGAACUGAGACGCGGUCCAGACUCCUACGGGAGGCAGCAGUGGGGAAUUUUUGGGACAAUGGACGCAAGUCUGAUCCAGCCAUUCCGCGUGCAGGAUGAAGGCCCUCGGGUUGUAAACUGCUUUUGUACGGAACGAAAAGGUUUGUCUUAAUACGAUGAGCUCAUGACGGUACCGUAAGAAUAAGCACCGGCUAACUACGUGCCAGCAGCCGCGGU
RNAcentral lists this ribosomal RNA (496 nucleotides) under uncultured bacterium. Its description in RNAcentral is "bacterial SSU rRNA". It matches the Rfam family "Bacterial small subunit ribosomal RNA", at positions 30 to 521 of the family's 1533-position model. The record is from RNAcentral.